AAACUUGGAUUAGAUACCCUAUUAUUAUAAAUGUAAAUUAAUAAGUUAAUUAUUAACUGUUAUGUUCAUGAAAAUUAAAGAAUUUGGCGGUAUUUUAGUCUAUUCAGAGGAACUUGUCUUUUAAUUGAUAUUCCACGAUUUAUAUUACUUAUUUUAUUAAUUUGUAUAUCGCUGUAGUUGAAUAUUUUUAAAGAAUUAAAAUGUUCAUGAUUUUUUUUAAGAAUAAAAUCAAGUCAAGGUGUAGUUUAUAAAUAAGAUUAGAUGAGUUACAAUAAAUAUAUUUAUGGAUUAUUUAAUUAAAAUUAUUUAUGAAAAUGGAUUUGACAGUAAUAUAGUAUAAAUUUACUAUAUGAUUGUAGCUCUAAAAUAUGUACAUAUCGCCCGUCACUCUU
Molecule: ribosomal RNA, 392 nt
Filed under: Speonomus longicornis
Lineage: Eukaryota; Metazoa; Arthropoda; Insecta; Coleoptera; Leiodidae
Description: partial 12S ribosomal RNA
Source: RNAcentral